AGGGAAUCUUCCACAAUGGACGGAAGUCUGAUGGAGCAACGCCGCGUGAGUGAUGAAGGUUUUCGGACGGAAAACUCUGGUUGAAGGGGAGAACCAGUACGUCAGGGCAUGGAAGUACCUUGACGGUACCUUAUUAGAAAACCACGGCUAACCACCUGCCAGCAGCCGCGGUAAUACGUAGGUGGCAAGCGUUGUCCGGAAUUAUUGGGCGUAAAGCGCGCGCAGGUGGUUUCUUAAGUCUGAUGUGAAAGCCCACGGCUUAACCGUGGAGAGUCAUUGGAAACUGGGAGACUUGAGUGCAGAAGAGGAAAGUGGAAUUCCAAGUGUAGCGGUGAAAUGCGUAGAGAUUUGGAGGAACACCAGUGGCGAAGGCGACUUUCUGGUCUGCAACUGACGCUGAGGCGCGAAAGCAUGGGGAGCAAACA
This 425-nucleotide ribosomal RNA is filed under the name uncultured Rummeliibacillus sp. RNAcentral's name for it is "bacterial SSU rRNA". It matches the Rfam family "Bacterial small subunit ribosomal RNA", at positions 356 to 774 of the family's 1533-position model. Lineage: Bacteria; Bacillati; Bacillota; Bacilli; Caryophanales; Caryophanaceae. The record is from RNAcentral.